This 375-nucleotide ribosomal RNA is filed under the name uncultured organism. Its description in RNAcentral is "partial 16S ribosomal RNA". It matches the Rfam family "Bacterial small subunit ribosomal RNA", at positions 527 to 896 of the family's 1533-position model. The record is from RNAcentral.
GUAGGUGGCAAGCGUUGUCCGGAAUUAUUGGGGCGUAAAGCGCGCGCAGGCGGUUCUUUAAGUCUGAUGUGAAGGGCCCACGGGCUCAACCGUGGAGGGUCAUUGGAAACUGGAGAACUUGAGUACAGAAGAGGAAAGCGGAAUUCCACGUGUAGCGGUGAAAUGCGUAGAGAUGUGGAGGAACACCAGUGGCGAAGGCGGCUUUCUGGUCUGUAACUGACGCUGAGGCGCGAAAGCGUGGGGAGCAAACAGGAUUAGAUACCCUGGUAGUCCACGCCGUAAACGAUGAGUGCUAAGUGUUAGGGGGUUUCCGCCCCUUAGUGCUGCAGCUAACGCAUUAAGCACUCCGCCUGGGGAGUACGGCCGCAAAGGCUG